GAGUUUGAUCAUGGCUCAGACGAACGCUUGCGACGUGCCUAAGAAAUGCAAGUCGAACGGGGAGCAAUCCCAGUGGCGAACGGUCGCGUAACACGUGGGCAACCUGCCCUGAAGCGGNGGACAACAGUCCGAAAGGGCUGCUAAUACCGCAUGUGAAGGGAGAAGGCAUCUUCUCUUGUUCAAAGCUUAAUGCACUUCAGGAUGGGCCCGCGGCCUAUCAGCUARUUGGUGAGGUAACGGCUCACCACRGCUUCGACGGGUAGCUGGUCUGASAGGACGAUCAGCCGGAUUGGGACUGAGAUACGGCCCAGACUCCUACGGGGGGCAGCAAUUAGGAAUCUUGCGCAAUGGGGGCAACCCUGACGCAGCGACGUCGCGUGGAGGAUGAAAUCUUUCGGGAUGUAAACUCCUUUUCUCAGGGAAGAAAACAAUGUACCUGAGGAAUAAGCCCCGGCUAACUACGUGCCAGCAGCCGCGGUAAUACG
This 485-nucleotide ribosomal RNA is filed under the name uncultured eubacterium WR157. Its description in RNAcentral is "bacterial SSU rRNA". It matches the Rfam family "Bacterial small subunit ribosomal RNA", at positions 9 to 527 of the family's 1533-position model. The record is from RNAcentral.